AUGUUUCAGAUCUCUCUGACUUCCUUUCUGCCACAUCUCUCUGCUGUCUCCCUCUUCUGAGGUGUCUCUUGGAGAAAUGUCUCUGCUUUUAAAGGAGUCAUAUGAAGCCAUUGAGACCCAGGGAAGCUGAUGGCAGAGCUGCUAAGUGACAGCCAGGACAGAGCUGGACUCGAACCCAGGUCCCCAAGCCACAUCUGGACCACGGAACCACACUGUUGCCCAGGGAACAACUCAGCAGGUAGCUAAGAGGAUUCCCCCUUUGCAGCUUGCAGCCAGGAAUGAUCAAACCAUUUCCCACUCCCAACUCAUCUCCACCGAGACUUCUCCUUUGGAAUUUGUCUCCGGCAUCACUUAUCAAAAAGCUCUGCUGAAGUCUUCUUUCUCCCUGACCACUUGGAAUAUGCUUGCCUAAUAAAAUUUCA
Molecule: long non-coding RNA, 422 nt
Organism: Orcinus orca (killer whale)
Lineage: Eukaryota; Metazoa; Chordata; Mammalia; Artiodactyla; Delphinidae
Exons: 2
Source: RefSeq, a predicted model, not a curated record